GAUUGCUAGUCGGGAAAAUCAUUUAGUUGAGAUUCAUUUAGAGAGGGUUCAAGUGAGUGACAUUGGACUCGGGGCAAUAUCCAAGUUUUCGGACUUGGAGAUACUUCAUUUGGUAAAAGCUCCUGAAUGUACAGAUGCUGGAGUUGUUGAUGUGGCUAGACGUUGUAAGUUAUUGAGGAAGGUUCACAUUGAUGGAUGGAGGACAAAUCGAAUAGGUGACGUGGGAUUGAGUGCUAUCGGUGAGAAUAGUAUAAACCUCAAGGAAUUGGUAAUAAUGGGUUUGAAUCCCACGGUGACUAGUUUAUUGGCCAUUGCUUCUAAUUGUCAAAAGUUAGAAAGAUUAGCACUUUGUGGUAGUGAGAGUAUUGGGGAUGCUGAAGUAACUUGUAUUGCUACAAAAUGUAUGGCUUUGAAGAAGCUUUGUAUAAAGGGAUGUGAGGUAACAGAUGAAGGUAUUGUGUCUUUCGCGUGGGGAUGUCCUAAUUUGGUGAAAAUUAAGGUUAAGAAGUGCAAGAACGUAACUGGUGAAGUUGCAGAUUUGUUGAGAGCAAGGAGGGGAUCUUUGACGGUGAAUCUUGAUGUUGGGGAAGUUGAUGUGGAGGUUGUGGAUGGU
This 613-nucleotide unclassified non-coding RNA is filed under the name Hevea brasiliensis (rubber tree). Lineage: Eukaryota; Viridiplantae; Streptophyta; Magnoliopsida; Malpighiales; Euphorbiaceae. The record is from RNAcentral.